GCUGGGCAUGGUGGUGCACGCCUGUAAUUCCAGCAGCGUAGGAGGCUGAGGCAGGAGGAUCAUGAAUUCAAAGCCAGCUUUAGCAAUUUAGCGAGGGCCUGAGCAACUCAGCAAGAUCCUGUCUCUA
This 127-nucleotide small RNA is filed under the name Marmota monax (woodchuck). Lineage: Eukaryota; Metazoa; Chordata; Mammalia; Rodentia; Sciuridae. The record is from RNAcentral.